UUUUCUAUACAGAAGGACUGCUUUCUGGGUAGAGUAUAGAAAUAUUAAUUUAGCAAGAGGUAAUUUUUUUUUUAAUAUCACUAACCUUGUUUUCCAGGAAGAAAAGCUACUCAGUCAUGGCUCCAUCUGCUUUUACCAAGAGCACAGAAGUUCUAUUAAUAGAAGGGAAAAUGUUACACUACUGGGUGUAAUACCUGAGUCUCCUGCCUUCACUUGGUUCCCUACGGUUAGAAGAGAUGGUGUGGUGAGAGGCCUGGAAGCCACAGAGUCUGAUUCUUUUGCUGUUACUCCUGUGUGGCUGGACUGGGACGAAGGAGGCGAUGGGACUCUAGAGACAGGUGAGUCACAUACUGUGAGCCCUGGGUUACUUGGGAAAAUGAUGUCCUCUAUCUGGAGCAGACCUGACAUGACACGAUAAAGAUGUGUCUCAGU
RNAcentral lists this long non-coding RNA (432 nucleotides) under Capra hircus (goat). RNAcentral's name for it is "lncRNA (ENSCHIG00000004695.1)". Lineage: Eukaryota; Metazoa; Chordata; Mammalia; Artiodactyla; Bovidae. The record is from RNAcentral.